AUUGAACGCUGGCGGCAGGCUUAACACAUGCAAGUCGAGCGGGGAAGGGUAGCUUGCUACCUAACCUAGCGGCGGACGGGUGAGUAAUGCUUAGGAAUCUGCCAUUUAGUGGGGGACAACAUUCCGAAAGGAAUGCUAAUACCGCAUACGUCCUACGGGAGAAAGCAGGGGAUCUUCGGACCUUGCGCUAAAUGAUGAGCCUAAGUCGGAUUAGCUAGUUGGUGGGUUAAAGGCCUACCAAGGCGACGAUCUGUAGCGGGUCUGAGAGGAUGAUCCGCCAAACUGGGACUGAGACACGGCCCAGAGUCCUACGGGAGGCGGCAGUGGGGAAUAUUGGACAAUGGGCGGAAGCCUGAUCCAGCCAUGCCGCGUGUGUGAAGAAGGCCUUAUGGUUGUAAAGCACUUUAAGCGAGGAGGAGGCUACUUAGAUUAAUACUCUAGUAUAGUGGACGUUACUCGCAGAAUAAGCACCGGCUAACUCUGUGCCAGCCGCCGCAGUAA
Molecule: ribosomal RNA, 501 nt
Filed under: uncultured bacterium
Lineage: Bacteria
Description: partial 16S ribosomal RNA
Rfam family: Bacterial small subunit ribosomal RNA
Source: RNAcentral